GAAAGCGNGGGUAGCGAACAGGAUUAGAUACCNUGGUAGUCCACGCCGUAAACGAUGAGUGCUAGGUGUUAGGCCCUUUCCGGGGNUUAGUGCCGGAGCUAACGCAAUAAGCACUCCGCNUGGGGAGUACGACCGCAAGGUUGAAACUCAAAGGAAUUGACGGGGGCCCGCACAAGCGGUGGAGCAUGUGGUUUAAUUCGAAGCAACGCGAAGAACCUUACCAGGUCUUGACAUCCCGAUGCUAUUNUUAGAGAUAGGAAGUUACUUCGGUACAUCGGAGACAGGUGGUGCAUGGUUGUCGUCAGCUCGUGUCGUGAGAUGUUGGGUNNNNNNNNNNNNNCGAGCGCAACCCUUAUUGUUAGUUGCCAUCAUUAAGUUGGGCACUCUAGCGAGACUGCCGGUAAUAAACCGGAGGAAGGUGGGGAUGACGUCAAAUCAUCAUGCCCCUUAUGACCUGGGCUACACACGUGCUACAAUGGUCGGUACAACGAGUUGCGAGCCGGUGACGGCAAGCUAAUCUCUGAAAGCCGAUCUCAGUUCGGAUUGGAGGCUGCAACUCGCCUCCAUGAAGUCGGAAUCGCUAGUAAUCGCGGAUCAGCACGCCGCGGUGAAUACGUUCCCGGGCCU
This 627-nucleotide ribosomal RNA is filed under the name uncultured bacterium. Its description in RNAcentral is "partial 16S ribosomal RNA". It matches the Rfam family "Bacterial small subunit ribosomal RNA", at positions 755 to 1381 of the family's 1533-position model. The record is from RNAcentral.